AGGGUCGACGUAAUCGGAAUUGUC
This 24-nucleotide non-coding RNA is filed under the name Arabidopsis thaliana (thale cress). The record is from RNAcentral. Lineage: Eukaryota; Viridiplantae; Streptophyta; Magnoliopsida; Brassicales; Brassicaceae.